RNAcentral lists this ribosomal RNA (301 nucleotides) under uncultured bacterium. Its description in RNAcentral is "partial 16S ribosomal RNA". It matches the Rfam family "Bacterial small subunit ribosomal RNA", at positions 509 to 807 of the family's 1533-position model. The record is from RNAcentral.
CAGUCGCCACGGUAAUACGUAGGUGGCAAGCGUUGUCCGGAAUUAUUGGGCGUAAAGGGCUCGCAGGCGGUUUCUUAAGUCUGAUGUGAAAGCCCCCGGCUCAACCGGGGAGGGUCAUUGGAAACUGGGAAACUUGAGUGCAGAAGAGGAGAGUGGAAUCCCACGUGUAGCGGUGAAAUGCGUAGAGAUGUGGAGGAACACCAGUGGCGAAGGCGACUCUCUGGUCUGUAACUGACGCUGAGGAGCGAAAGCGUGGGGAGCGAACAGGAUUAGAUACCCCAGUAGUCCCUGUCUCUUAUAC